Sorex araneus (European shrew) is the source of this 131-nucleotide small nucleolar RNA. Its record names the gene SNORA70. It matches the Rfam family "Small nucleolar RNA SNORA70". Rfam says of the family: snoRNA U70 seems to be exclusive to mammals and is a member of the H/ACA class of snoRNA which contain H (ANANNA) and ACA box motifs. H/ACA box snoRNAs are involved in the conversion of uridines to pseudouridines (5-ribosyluracil) a constituent of structural RNAs (transfer, ribosomal, small nuclear, and small nucleolar). The record is from Ensembl. Lineage: Eukaryota; Metazoa; Chordata; Mammalia; Eulipotyphla; Soricidae.
CUGCAGCCACUUAAGCUGAUUAUGCUCGUCUGCUCCUGGAGCUCCUAGUGUGCAGUGGCUACAAACAGCCUCUUUGGUUAUAUAUACAGCCUGUUGCUUCUAUGGUUGCCCUAAGGAACUUGGACAUGGUC